Ribosomal RNA from Anser brachyrhynchus (Pink-footed goose), 115 nucleotides. NCBI's taxonomy places the organism in Eukaryota, Metazoa, Chordata, Aves, Anseriformes, Anatidae. The record is from Ensembl.
UUCAGCCAUACCACCUCAGGCUGUGAUCUUGUCAGAUCUCAAUAGCUAAGCAGGGUCAGGAUGGGUCAGUGUUUCGAUGAGAAAUCCCAAGGGAGAAACCCAGGUGCUGCAGGAA